CCCUUAGAUGUCCUGGGCCGCACGCGCGCUACACUGAUGCAUUCAACGAGUCUAAAACCUGCUCUGAUAGGGGUGGGUAAUCUUUUGAAUGUGCAUCGUGAUUGGGAUAGAUGAUUGCAAUUUUUCAUCUUCAACGAGGAAUGCCUAGUAAACGCAAGUCAUCAGCUUGCAUUGAUUACGUCCCUGCCCUUUGUACACACCGCCCGUCGCUCCUACCGAUUGAAUGAUCCGAUGAAUAUCAUGGAUUGAGGAUGCAAGCAGGUUCGCCUGUCUUCAUCUUCGAGAAGUGAAGUAAAUCUUAUCAUUUAGAGGAAGGAGAAGUCGUAACA
RNAcentral lists this ribosomal RNA (329 nucleotides) under uncultured eukaryote. RNAcentral describes it as "partial 18S ribosomal RNA". It matches the Rfam family "Eukaryotic small subunit ribosomal RNA", at positions 1470 to 1796 of the family's 1831-position model. The record is from RNAcentral.